AAAUGUAUAUUAUAUUUUAAUUAUUUUUAUUUUAAGCUUAAAAGAUUUCUCAUUUA
This 56-nucleotide transfer RNA is filed under the name Heterodera glycines (soybean cyst nematode). RNAcentral describes it as "tRNA-Leu". Lineage: Eukaryota; Metazoa; Nematoda; Chromadorea; Rhabditida; Heteroderidae. The record is from RNAcentral.